UACGUAGGGUGCGAGCGUUAAUCGGAAUUACUGGGCGUAAAGCGUGCGCAGGCGGUUUUGUAAGCCAGAUGUGAAAUCCCCGGGCUUAACCUGGGAAUGGCAUUUGGGACUGCAAGGCUGGAGUGUGGCAGAGGAGACUGGAAUUCCCGGUGUAGAGGUGAAAUUCGUAGAUAUCGGGAGGAACACCAGUGGCGAAGGCGGCGAUCUGGACAGAUAUUGACGCUGAGGUGCGAAAGCGUGGGGAGCAAACAGG
Molecule: ribosomal RNA, 253 nt
Filed under: uncultured bacterium
Lineage: Bacteria
Description: partial 16S ribosomal RNA
Rfam family: Bacterial small subunit ribosomal RNA
Source: RNAcentral